This is a long non-coding RNA of Entelurus aequoreus (snake pipefish), 1389 nucleotides long. RefSeq lists it as uncharacterized. The transcript has 3 exons. The record is from RefSeq and is a predicted model, not a curated record. NCBI's taxonomy places the organism in Eukaryota, Metazoa, Chordata, Actinopteri, Syngnathiformes, Syngnathidae.
ACAAUGGCAUGCUCCAAGUUGGCUCAGGCUGGUCAAAGAAAGGUGGACAGGGAAAACCGACGUUUCAAGGAAGAAUGGACAGAGCAAUAUGUUUUCAUCCUACCUACUGGCCAUCACACCUUUUGUGCCAAAGUUCAAAGUCUUGGUUUCAACCCCAAGAGCCCAAUUCUCCCAUUGAGCAGCUGUGUUUUACACAAUGGGGAUGUACUGUACCAUAGUUAUAUUUGCACAUGAAUGAGAUCUGUUGAGGUCAUUUGUUUACCAGGGAUAGGAGGGUUGUGUUUAAAAGUAUUUAUUUUUUGUUAAAACUGAAAGUUGUAUUUAAGUUCUUAUUUAUUUUUGUUUCAAAGAAAAUCUUUCAUGUAUUUUAUUGGAUAUUAAUUUUAUUUUUGUUAAUUUUAAGAAAAUGUUAAACUACUACCUACCUCCUGCUUCUAUAUAAGCUUGGCCGAUAAUAAACGGACCCAGCCUGUUUCAAAAUAACAUUUGUGGACCUUCAAGAUUUGUACUUGAGGACCCCUGAUAUAAGCUAAAAACAUGGAUGCAAACAAUAUAUUUAUUCGCCCUGGGUAGUUGUUUACAAUUUUCAUUCUCUGUGAGUUUGCAUUCCUGCGAUAGGUACUCAACAAUUGUUGAUUUCACAUUACUGAUGGAUGUGAUAGAAAUUCAAUGAACUGCUUUGACCAAACAACAUUAUAUGGUGCGUUUUUGGAGGUUCUUGUUUUGCGAUGACCAAACUAAUACAACUUUUUUUAUUGUGCAGAUAAUUGUCCGUGAUCGGAUUUGUCAUCAAUAUGGACGCACUGAUGCUGAUGAUUCCAGAACUGCUCCAAGUAUAUCGCUAUGUGCUCACCUACAGGUUAAUCCAGGAUCCCAUGGAGCUCAAUUUAAUUGAGGCUGUCACGGCGCAGGCUCAAACUCGCUUUUCCCCGGCACCUGCGCUGGCAGCGCGCCGAGACACACCCCUGCUCGCGCUGGCCAGGGCGAUCAGCAAUCUGCACACCUGGGACUGAUGAGGGCAAGCGGUAUAAAGGACCAGUGGACCCAAGGAUCCUGGCGGGAACUUAGUUCUCUAUGGUGUAGCUGUUUUCCUUCCGUCGCCUUGGUUUCGAGCUGUGUGUUUUGCUCCCUUGGACUUCCUCCCCCUGGAUCUCGACUGCCUUCCUGGAUCUCGACCCCCUCGCAUGGACAUGGACUCUGACGCCUCUCUCUCUCGCCCUGGAUCAUUUGCCUGCUCCACGGACUGCCCCUCCUGCUUUGUCCCUCCUCUCGCUUGACUCAGCACUUGGUAACACACACUUCAGCUAACCAUACACAGCCACACACACACUCUUUGGUUUUGUCACACACACCAUUCUACAGAUUUAGUUAGUAUUGUUUAUUAUUAUA